This 316-nucleotide unclassified non-coding RNA is filed under the name Aconitum racemulosum. RNAcentral describes it as "partial external transcribed spacer". Lineage: Eukaryota; Viridiplantae; Streptophyta; Magnoliopsida; Ranunculales; Ranunculaceae. The record is from RNAcentral.
GACUCAAGGGGGCAUUCGACAGGACAAGCCCACCGAGCAUCCUCUUGAGUGCAGCAGUCAGUCGUUUUAGCCACAAAUGGAACGAACGGGCAAGAUAACCCGAAACUCUUCGUGUCUUCCGCAUCCCCAAGCCACAUGUAAACUUGUUAACCACUCACACAGUUUCAAAAACCAGUGCCUGGCUUCACAAGACACACAAACAAGUUGCCCAUAGCCGAUGCAAAGACCAACCAGGGGCAAAAUUAUCUCAAGACAUCGUUUGCCAAGUAAUUUCUUUGGUACGUAACACAGGAACGUCAAAGUUGCACGAAAGGGG